Molecule: long non-coding RNA, 316 nt
Filed under: Rattus norvegicus (Norway rat)
Lineage: Eukaryota; Metazoa; Chordata; Mammalia; Rodentia; Muridae
Description: long non-coding RNA NONRATT004182
Source: RNAcentral
CGGCGACCCCGACCUGGACCAGCCCCGGCGCGGAGGCGACUCGGGGUCCGUGGAGAGUGGCGGCGGGCGGCGGCGGGCCGGGCCGCGCGGGGCGCGAUGCUGAACAUGUGGAAGCACCAAUGUGGUUAUGAAUUAUUCAGAGAUCGAGUCCAAAGUUCGAGAAGCAACGAAUGAUGAUCCUUGGGGACCUUCUGGGCAGCUCAUGGGAGAGAUUGCCAAGGCUACUUUUAUGUAUGAACAGUUCCCAGAACUUAUGAACAUGCUUUGGUCCCGAAUGCUAAAAGACAACAAAAAGAAUUGGAGAAGAGUUUAUAAG